UACACAUAUAGUCAUCUUUAUUAAAGUUCACGAUUACAUUAGAAAUUGAUGGAUUUCUUUAAGACAUGCUGAUUCUCAUGGGCACCUGCUUUCCACUUUUAAGAGUGAUAGAUAAAGAGGUCAAUAUCUUAGUGUCAUUACAUCAAGUUUUCACCAGAUAGGAAACCUGAAAAGGUCUUUUGAGCCUUCCAGGUCACUAUACUCUAAGACCUGCCCAUAUAGUCUCUGGCAUGUCUUAUAAAUUUCAGAACAGUAGAACUCAUGGGUUUUAAGGUGUAGUUCCAGGGGUUAAAUAUUGUAUCUAUACACUUCCAAAUCUCCCAGGCCUAUCUUCAAUGAAUGUAUUACUCAUU
This 353-nucleotide long non-coding RNA is filed under the name Bos taurus (domestic cattle). RNAcentral describes it as "long non-coding RNA NONBTAT011915". The record is from RNAcentral. Lineage: Eukaryota; Metazoa; Chordata; Mammalia; Artiodactyla; Bovidae.